Molecule: long non-coding RNA, 383 nt
Organism: Leptinotarsa decemlineata (Colorado potato beetle)
Lineage: Eukaryota; Metazoa; Arthropoda; Insecta; Coleoptera; Chrysomelidae
Source: RefSeq, a predicted model, not a curated record
UUGGUUCGCAAAAUACUCAUUUUUUACUCUUUUUAUUAGACCUCGAAGAUAUUGUCGAUAUGUUUUAUAUUCAUGUUCGAUUUGGGUGUUACAAGGGUUCUUAAGCACAUUCUGAACCAUCUAAAUCAAUAGUGGCGAUAACUGGAAAAUGAUCUGUGAUGUCAUUUCCAACAACAAAGGAUUUGGUGUCAUUAUAAUGAUAUGUUUUGUAGAAGAUAUGAUCUAAGCAGGUUUUUGAUUUUUUUUGUACCCUAGUGUAAGUGUUAAGCAGUGACGUGAAUCCAUCUUCACUCAAAAUGUCUAAAUAGUUAUCACAAUGAUCUUCAUCUGAUUUAAUAUCAAUGUUGAUGUCUCCAACAAUAAAUUGUAUAUUCCCUCCAUCA